This 6567-nucleotide long non-coding RNA is filed under the name Zostera marina. RNAcentral's name for it is "long non-coding RNA (ZMAR_LNC001861)". Lineage: Eukaryota; Viridiplantae; Streptophyta; Magnoliopsida; Alismatales; Zosteraceae. The record is from RNAcentral.
GUCCCUGCAAGUGAACGAUAGCCGAUGAUCUGAGCUGGCAUUUCAACAUACCCAUCAUCAUCAUCACAAUCUACACGCCUCGUCGGAAUAAACUCGAUAUUCCAGUAAGGAAGAUUAAUCGGAACACCCUCCUCCCUACCCCAUUCGCGCGGAAUCGGAACCAAUCGCACCCUCGCGGAACCUCUGCUCGCGGAAUCGGAACCCAUCGCUCCCUCGCGGAACCUCUGCUCGCGCGGAAUCGGAACCCAUCGCUCCCUCGCGGAACCUCUGCUCGCGCGGAAUCGGAACCAAUCGCACCCUCGCGGAACCUCUGCUCGCGAGAUUUCCGAAAUCCAAACGCGAGGAAUUGACGACCGUCCACGUCGAGUUCCGAGAUUUUGAUGAACGGCAGGAUUGGGUGGCCGCACAGGUGACCGUUCCGGCUGGUGGCCGUUCCAGAAGUCUGCCCUAUAUAUAUAUAUAAAUUGAAUUGAAUUGAAUUGAAUAAGAUUAAUUAAUUAAUUUCCAUGAACUUUGUAAAAAAUAUUCGAUAGAGAUGGAAAUGGAAAUGAUUCAGGUUUGCUUCAACCCAAACCUUCAAAAUUCAGGUUGAGGAUUUAAAUAAAAUUAGGGUUUUAUAUAUACUAGGGUUGUUAAUACUUGUCUUGGGCACAAAGGAAGAAAAUCCCCGUCAGAAUUGUCAGUCGAAAUCCCGAAUUCUUACUCAGCUUUUAGGCCUUAGGAGUUAGCCAGUCCAUUUUAAGUUUACUGAGUAGUGAUUUAAUGUAAAAAAUUAGAAAUUAGGGAUUUAGGUUUAGAGUUAGGGUAAAAAUAAAAAUCAGGAUCCUUCUGCAUUCUGCAGUUCUGCUUCAAUCUGGAACCUUAGGAGUUAGCCGGCGUUUCUUUUUUUUCUUAUGCUGCUUCCUUUUGUCUCUUGGCGAUUUUCAGACCUUCUUGGCGAUUUCUCUUCCUGCCUACCUUCUUUGGUCACUGAUUUGGGGUACAAUAUUUUCUUUUGUUGGAGUUCGAUUCCUCUUUAUUGAUGUUCAGUACUAGAAUCUAUGCCCUGCAUUUUUUAUUAAAUCUAUACCCUGCGUUAAAUUAUAUUGCUGCACAAUGUACAUACUUAUCUAUCUAGAUGUUUCUUUUAUUUUUUAUUUUCAGAUUUAUAUAAACUUUAUAUUGCAAUUUUUUAUUUUUUUAUUUUUUUAAAUUUUAAAAAUUUAUAUUUUGCAGGUAGUUAGGGGUGAGUCGCGCAGAUUCACCUCGUUCCGCGUCCCGAUCAUCGGGUCCAGGAUAGGAACUGAGAAGGACUAAGAGCUUGCAAACAGUAGCUAGAUCUCAUAGUAGUUUUAUUCGUGUUUAUGCCGAAAAGCUCAGAAAGCCAUUAACAUGGUACUUAUAACCUAGUUUACUUAUAAUAUGAUUUUGUUACUUCUAACCAUAGAUGAAAAAGCGACGCUUAAAGCGUCGCUUUAAUAGCUUAAAGCGUCGCUUUAAUAGCUUAAAGCAGAAAAGCGCUUCUGGAGGAGCGCUUUCCAAAUCGUUUUUUUAAGCGGGUAAGUGGGUCGGGUUGGGUUAGUGGGUUUCUACCCAUCACCGGUAGAAUUCCACAGCAAAUUUACACAAAAAACUGAUGUUGUUCAUCUAUGUGUAAUAACAUUUAUUACACAUAAAUGUUUAAUGGUAAACGUGUAAUAUAAAUGUUAUUAUACAUAAAUGUUUACUGGUAAAUGUGUAAUAUAAAUGUACAUAAAUGUUUACUGGUAAAUGUGUAAUAUAAAUGUCAUUACACGUUUACAGGUAAACACUUAUGUAAUAUAAAUGUCAUUACACGUUUACAGGUAAACAUUUAUGUGUAAUAUAAAUGUUAUCACACAUAAAUGUUUACUGAUAAACGUGUAAUAUAAAUUUAUAACAGGGAUAUAUAUUUGAAAAAAAAAUUUAUAGGAUUAAAAAAAAAUAAUACAGAGAUAUAUAUGCAAUUUUCGAAAAAAUUGCAAAUAUUUACGAAAUUGCCAUUUUCUAAAGCGCUCAAAGUUAAAAAAGCGCUCCCUGGAAAAUGGGAGCGCUUUACUGCUUUUUGAACUAUACUUUUUUUUUCUUAUAGCUGUCAUAUCUUCACGUUCAUCUCGGUAAACUCAAAUAUGCCAAAAAUUUCUAAGCUAUAAGAUGCAAAGGACCUUUAAUUUAAUUUUUGUAAACACGUAUUUGUAACGAGAAAUCAACUUUCCUUCAACAUAUUACUGAUAAGAUCACUUUAAUCAAGUCAAAUUAUCAUAUCUUUGCUGAUUUGGACGUGUAUAAGCUAUUGGUUGGGUACACCAAGAAAAAAAAAAGAUUAUGAAGAAUUCCUAGAUAUUAUCCAAGUGAAUAUGUUGAAAAAGCGCUUAACUCAUUCCAAACUUAUUGGGGAUUAUAUUACAACUAAGGAAGAGUGAGAUGUAUAUAAGAAGAAUCUAGAAGAUGCAGAUAUCCAGAAUCGUACUCUCACCUCCUCAGUCAUCUAGCUCAAGCUCAGGUUAAUUAACACAUUGAAUAAUAUUUGCAAAAAGCUAACUGCGUAAGUUGAAACUACUACUAUCAAGGUAUCGUUGUUAGCUCAACUCGAUAUUGUUCAUUUUAGAAAUACUGUCUUUCUAGGUUUUCUAACAAAUGACAUAGUUGACCGGAUUUAUGCUAAUCUGGAACGGGUAGCAGAGAUGUGUGCAUAGUAUCUUGUAUUUCAUGAGAGGAAUGUGUUAGUUCAGUCUGAUAGAGAGGAUGGUAAUGGAGUAGAAAUCCGAAAUGUGAAUGGAGGAGGUCGAAAAGAAAAGUGUUGUGAGAUCUCUCUUCAAAAAAGGAUUAGGAUUUUGUAUUUAUGAUAAGUUGAAUUUUUUUCAUUUUUCCUUCUUUUAUCGAACCAUCUUUUAUAUUUGGAGUUCUUCUGUUUAAGAGGAUUUUCAUUGCUAGCUAUUCUGGAUACCUUACCUGAUGGAAAUGAUCUUUUUUUAGUAUGAAAAAAAAGCUUCCCUUUUAGCUCCUUACUAUGAAAACCCUCUGCUUAUUCCUAAGAUAUUCAUAUUUACUUUUAGCUUGCAGAGUGCAACUUAAAUGAUGUAGAUUCUACUUUUCAAAGAUGGGUUUCUAAUAAGACCUUAUAUAUCCCUUGUAGAUGAUUCCAAAAGUAUGAGUAUUUCAACUACGUACUUCCGACCUUUCAAGAUCGUGAGUGUUCAUGCACCACGAUCGAGCAUAGUGAUCAACAUCUAUUUUCCAUAGAAAAAGUUAGCCCCUAACAUUAUUUCCCCUCAUGGUACUAUACUUGAUGUGGUCGAGGUAGUAAUGUUAUUUUCAGGCUGAUCAGACCCUCCUACUAAUAGCUCUUAGUUUAAUAUAAAUAGGUCCAACGUACUAAGACACUGAUUCGGACUUCAAUAUUUUUCUAGCAUGUCUUCUCUAAUCUGACAAUGAGAGAAGAAACGGAUGAUACUAGGUCCCAUAUAAGAAGUACAAUCUUAGAAUAGGUCCUCAGACGCACUUAGACAGACUGAGACCUUGGAAGCUCGAGAAUGAUUGGAAAGUUCGACUUUUCUUGAAAAAAGUGUUCGACUUUUGCUUGGAGAAAGUCGAUCUUCAAAAAAGUCGAUACCUAGUGCACUUGGAUGAUUCCUUGGAAGUCGUAGCCUGAAAGCCUAGCUCCUUGAGGAAUCGACUUUUUUUUUUCUUAGGAGAAAAAGUCGAUCUUCUGAAAAGUCGAUCCCUUGCUGGCUGAUCUCCUCGCAAGACUACCUAGCUGGCGACUUGGAAAAAAGUCGAUCACUUUUUUCGAAAAAGUCAAGGAGCUUUUGUCGUGAGUAUCUUUGAAUCACAGACGGCGCCAACUGAUGGGGGUGAAACCCGACCAGUACUCCAAGACGCGCAAGCAAGCGCCAAGCGGGGAACUCCGCGGGAAACCGGACCGGAACUCAAGUGCGCAGAGCUCUGCUUCGCUAGGAAUCCUUUCGCUCCAAAUGACCUGCCUUUAAUGAGUGGGGGGUGCCCUCUAUUUAUAGGGGUUCUUAUGGGGGUAAUAUGGUCAUUUUGGCAGUAACCGCCUAACUGCCAAACUGAUCAGAUUGGGUCCCGGGAUCGACUUUCCAGAGAUCGACUUUCUGGGGGUCGACUUUCCUGGGAUCGACUUUAUUCAGAAGGCGAUCCCAGAGAAGUCGAUCCUCAGGAAAGUCGAUCUUCCUAGGAUUCGACCUGGGACCUCCCCAACCCUAGAAUAGAUACCUUAACUCAUCUUAGGCUAUCCGGACUUCUAGUUGCUGGUAGGUAGUGACCGUGUUCGGGAUACUGUAUCACCAGUACUCCCCCCUCCUCUGCGUAUUAGAUACUUUGGGAUACGUCUUUUAGUACUAUGGUCUGUGUGUUGGACCUUGUACUAUCAGUAUUCCCCCCUCUUUGCGUGCUGGGAUGUGGAUUUUUGGUGAUGUCCCAGGAUGCGAGAUCCUCUCUUACCAGUAUUCCCCCCCUCUCUACGCCUGCGAGGUUGUAUCUAUGCUUCCACGGAGGUUGUCACGCGCUUUUGCCAACUAUUGUCCGGUUUGUCCUAGCCGAAGCAUACUCCUUGCGCCCCUGUCUGGCCUGAUUUUCCCGCGGAACCCUGCUUUCCCACCUUGACGCCUUGCCUGAGCUAUCUUUGAGCACUGUUUGGGUUCUCUUCCCUGUGGCGGGUUUUGAGAGUACCCGACCCCCUCCUUUUGCUCGCCUUUCUGCGACAGGGGUUGAGUGCGAUCCCUCGUCUACCUGCGUUCAUCCGUAGGUGAGGGUUAUUUUUUGAAUACUUGCCCCCUCCUUUUGCUCGCCUUUCUGCGACUGAGGUUUGGGCGCGAUCCCUCGUCUACCUACGUUUAUCCGUAGGUGAGGAUUAUUAUUUGAAUACUUGCCCCCUCCUUUUGCUCGCCUUUCUGCGAUAGGUUUGGGCGUGAUCCCUCGUCUACCUACGUUCAUCCGUAGGUGAGGAUUAUUAUUUGAGCUUAUCCCUCGUCUAACCUACGUUCUUCCGUAGGUGAGGUUUGCUCUUGAGUACGUCCCUCGUCUAACCUACGUUCUUCCGUAGUUGAGGUUCACUCUUGAACACUUGCCCCUCUGUCUACGUUUUUUGUAGAACGGGGUGUGUGUUUAGCCGAUGCGUCCCCCGUCUAACCUACGUUCUUUCGUAGGUGGGGUUUGCUUUUGAGUACAUCCCUCGUCUAACCUACGUUUCCGUAGGUGAGGUUCACUCUUGAGUACAUCCCUCGUUUAUCCUACGUUCUUCCGUAGGUGAGGUUUACGUGGGCUUUCCGGCCCACCGGGUCAACCCGGAUGAACAGUGUCCGCGACGGUUCGUCUUCGACUUUCCCCUAUAAAUAACGGAGGGGGGUUCACUUGUUUCCCACUACUCGUUUUCUUCGCUCCGACUGAUCGACUUUCUACGCAUCGACUUCCAGCUUCUUCGCUUCGACUUCAGCGCGCGUAAGGCUUCGACUUGAGCCUGGGAGGUGCAGCUUUCUGGGGUCCGACUUUUGUCGUCGGGCUCUUCUGAAGUUGCACCGGGUUCGACUUCCUUGGGGUCCGACUUUUUUGAAAGUUGGUCCUUUUCGAAGUUGUUCCCCUUUGAACUGUGGUCCGACUUUAUGAAGUUUGACGCCUUGUCAUCGACUUUCCAAAGUUGGAUCCAUUUUUACUGGGAUCGACUUCCACGAGCAUAGCCUUUGUGCUCCCGAAGUGAUUCCCUUGGUUCGAAUUUUCUGGGGUCGACUUCCUGAGCCCCUUGUCUCUUGAAGGCCGAAUUCCCUGGGAUCGACUUCUGAGGUCGACUUCUCUGGGAUCGACUUAUGAGGUCGACUUCCCUUAUGCUGCUAGUUCGAUUCCCUGAAAUCUGGAUCGACUUUUCCUUGGGAUUGACUUUUGCCAUAACUUAGGCUAACUACUAUGUUCCUCGUGCAGGUUGUUAUAAUGUCUUCUGAUAAGAACUCGCAGAAAGACCUUCCUCCCAAUGAGGAGCGGGCUAUUAUUGUUAGCCCUCAGGCUCAGACUGCUCCUGCCGUAGUUGAGUCUAUUCCUGCCGUGGUUCAGACUACUCCUGCCGUGGUCGAGCCUAGAGUUGAUUCGCCUUCCUCCUCUCCUGUUGGAAGUAAGCGAAAAACUCUUUCUCGUCGUACGCGCAAGCCUGUACCUAGUAAGNNNNNNNNNNNNNNNNNNNNNNNNNNNNNNNNNNNNNNNNNNNNNNNNNNNNNNNNNNNNNNNNNNNNNNNNNNNNNNNNNNNNNNNNNNNNNNNNNNNNNNCGGUUCGGGGAGCUCGAGUUCUUCCUCCUGCAGCUCCUCUUCUCCUGAGCGGGAUGUAGAAAUUGGAGGCAUCCCUCCUUCUACCGCUAGGACUCCUCCUUCUACAAUUAUUUUGUCUACUAUUCUUAAGGAGGUUCCUAUUGUGGAGGAGCCAUCCGUGGCUACAGACGGUUCUGCUCAACUUCCUCCCGAAGUCUGUAGUCAGAACGUUCAUACUUUAGAGGACUCCCUUUUAAGUUACCCUCCUGAGACGGAGGAGAAGUACCCCUUUCCUUCUCCUCUUGAAGAGAAAAGCGC